CCUACCUGAGUUGUGAGUAAAAACACAGAUAUUGAUGGAUCUGUUUGAAACAAGUUGAUGCGAGCUUCUCUUUCAAAUAUUUUGUGAAUAGUACCAUCUACACGAAUAAUCUUUAUUUCCUGAGUUCUUCAACUGGCAGACCAAGAGUUUCACCGCUCAUUGUAGACAACAAACGAGGAUGAUCACAAAUUUUUUUCAUCACAUUCAACUCGGCCAAAGGACUUCUCUUCGUCAUUAAAACCUGAAACAAACAUGACUCUACUGAAUUCCAACACUUACAAACAUUUUUGAAAAAUGCGGAGUUGGCUUUGUGAAAGAUACACCCAGACUAUAAAGUCGUUCUUGCGAGUUAGGUAUGGAGUCUUUGGUCUGAAAAAAAAUUAUGUAAGAACAACCAAGACAUAAAAUAAUUAAACUUCUUAAUGUAGGUAACAAUACUCAGUAUUAUCAGGCUCAUUUUCUUUGUCUGAUGCUCCAUCCACAUAAUCCGCCAUGUCAUUAUUUGAUUUAGUCUUUUUCA
Molecule: long non-coding RNA, 520 nt
Organism: Xenia sp. Carnegie-2017
Lineage: Eukaryota; Metazoa; Cnidaria; Anthozoa; Malacalcyonacea; Xeniidae
Exons: 3
Source: RefSeq, a predicted model, not a curated record